CUCAAACAUAUCCUGAUAAUGAGUCAUUACAAUAUUUGCUAAGAUAAAAUGAACGCACUGUCUCCCGGAGUUGAUAUUACAAAUAGAAAUCAAAAAAACCUGAAAUGGAUUAACAAGUCCAUGAACGGAGAUGCAUAUUCUUCAAUAUUCUGCCCACGGGAGUAGGAUCUCGUGGUGUCCAGAAUGGAUUAAUAAGCAAACAAGGGAGUAUUUGACUUCACUUAUAACCUCAGCUUGCCGCCGUCGCCGCCAAGGGAGUGAGGGCCUGAGGGAGAGCCGGAGAGGGUAGGCCGCCUGCACGGCUGCACUGCCGACCUGGCCUCUGGCGGUCUGCCGUCGGCCGUGAGCCCGUGAGCCGUGACAGCCUGCACUGCCGCCUGCCAGUCUGGCGCCUGGCGGUCUGCCGCCCG
Molecule: long non-coding RNA, 410 nt
Filed under: Zea mays
Lineage: Eukaryota; Viridiplantae; Streptophyta; Magnoliopsida; Poales; Poaceae
Description: long non-coding RNA NONZMAT000699
Source: RNAcentral